Molecule: ribosomal RNA, 520 nt
Filed under: uncultured bacterium
Lineage: Bacteria
Description: bacterial SSU rRNA
Rfam family: Archaeal small subunit ribosomal RNA
Source: RNAcentral
AAACUUCACACUGGGGGCAACCCCGAUGAGGGAAUUCCUAGUGCUUGGGCAUUUGUCCAAGCUUUUCCCGAGCGUAGAUAACUCGGGGAAUAAGGGCUGGGUAAGACGGGUGCCAGCCGCCGCGGUAAUACCUGCAGCCCGAGUGGUGGUCGAUUUUAUUGAGUCUAAAGCGUUCGUAGCCGGUCCGUUAAAUCCUUGGGUAAAUCGGGAAGCUCAACUUUCCGACUUCCGAGGAGACUGGCGGACUUGGGACCGGGAGAGGCCAGAGGUACUUCUGGGGUAGGGGUAAAAUCCUGUAAUCCUAGAAGGACCACCGGUGGCGAAGGCGUCUGGCUAGAACGGAUCCGACGGUGAGGGACGAAGCCCUGGGUCGCAAACGGGAUUAGAUACCCCGGUAGUCCAGGGUGUAAACGCUGCCGACUUGGUGUUGGGGGCCCUUCGUGGGAACUCAGUGCCGGAGAGAAGUUGUUAAGUCGGCCACUUGGGGAGUACGUCCGCAAGGAUGAAACUUAAAGGAAUU